Homo sapiens (human) is the source of this 2805-nucleotide long non-coding RNA. NCBI's taxonomy places the organism in Eukaryota, Metazoa, Chordata, Mammalia, Primates, Hominidae. The record is from Ensembl.
GGGGAGCUAGGAGAAAAGAGGAAGCUGGUGCAGGAAGACUGGCUCCUGAGAAAGAGAGGAGAUGGAAAAGGAAUCCUGGCCUGAGACCGAGCUUACCUGGGUUCUGAUCUGGCUCUGUUGCUAGAUGUGCCACUAGCUUCUGGAUCUUCCUGUGUCCAUCUGCAAAAGGCAGAUUAAAGGCCAGGACUCAUCCUACUCUGAAAUUUGGCCAAGUGACCACCUUGUCCCACACUCAAGUAUAGACUCUCAAGACCUUAACCUUAUGAUGACAAGAAGAGGCAAAUAAAGGAAAAGAGUCUCACUUCAUCACCCAGGCUAGAGUGCAGUGGCUCAAUCUCAGCUCACAGCAACUUCUGCAUCCCGGGUUCAAGCAAUUCUUGUGCCUCAGUCUCCCAAAGUAGCUGGAAUUACAGCUGUGCACCACCACACCCAGUUAAUUUUCUUUUCUUGUAUUUUUAGUAGAGAUAGGGUUUAGCCAAGUUGGCCAGGCUGCUCUCAAACUCCUGACCUCAAGUGAUCCACCCGCCUCGGCCUCCCAAAUUGGUGGGAUUCCAGGCAUGAGCCACCGCACCAGGACCAAUAUUACUUUUCUUCAGGACCCAUCCUUCACCCCCACCAGAACACAUUAUAAAUGAAUAAUUAUUCCAUUAUGUUAAUUGAAACACAUAUAUAAAGAGGUAAGGCCCUGUUUUGGGUUCUUGUUUAGGACAGUAAACAUACACUAAUUGGCCUCCCCAGCAAUUGUGUUUAGCAUGAGGAACAGGUAAUAAACAUAAAUAAAUAAAUGACAUAGUGUAUCAGCAGGUGGUAAAUGCUAUAGAUGAACAGAAGUAGAUAUGACAUUUAAAGAACUUGGAAAUUAUCAUUCCUGUCAUCGUAGUAAAAUUACUUCUGAAUACACUGAAAAUCACCUUUUCUUGGAUCAAUCAAAUAACUGAGGUUACAGGGCAAAUACCAUCCUGAAAACUGCAGAGGCAGGCAAAUAUAAUGGAUUCUAGCCAAUAUCUUCUUGCUUUAAGUAGAAGCCACAGAAACCAUAUACUGGUAGAAACAGACAUGAGAAUUAUGAAGAACUUUUGGAGGCUAAGUGUGGUCUGGCUUGAGGGUGAGAAACUGAUAGGGUGGCAUUUUUAAGUAGGGCCCCAUCCCUUUUUGGGGAACCCCCUAUCAGAUAAUCACAAAGAAGAGCCAACAAAUACCUCCUCCUGAUUCUGGCACAGAGAGGGAAAGAAUAACCUUUGUGAAAUAAUCCCAGAAUAUUCUCUGUAAAUAAGUUUACUCUUCAAGGGAAAGACUUUGCCAGAAGCUUAGUUCAUCUGUGAAAGCACAUUUACUUGACGCUAGCUACCUCCAGCCUUUCUGGAUUACCUACAGGGAGGAAAAAAAAAAGGUAAAAAACAAUUGUGAAGGUCACAGUCCAGAAGAAACUAAAGCAACUAGAAGAAGAGGGAACAUGAUGUUUAACUUACCCUUAGGCUUUCUUAUGUAGUGAGAAGAAAGCAUCAAAAAAAAAAAAAAUCAAAGUGGAGGCCUGUUUUCUGACUCAUCCUGUUGCAAGAGACAGGAACCAGAAGAGAGAGCUGUGCAUGUGAGUUUGAUCUUUCAAUGCCCAGUGACCCCAUCAAAUGGUAAACAUGGACAGACAGAUAUCAUGGGAAUUAACUUAUUCGGGUAAGUAUUCUCUGCUCUUCAGGAGGUGUAGAAAGGUGAUGAAGAGAGCAACAGAAUCUUAUACUUACAAUCAGUGUCAUGGUAUGGGUAAUCUCAAUGUUUGGGGAAAGGGGAUGGGUAGUUCAAGAAAGACUAUCAAGAAGGAAUGCCUUAGCCUAGUCUUCAAGGGUGAGAGGAACUUGAUAAAGAAUGGGAAGGAGGACAGAAGGGCAUUCUGGACAGAGCAAGGCUCAUGAAAACAGACUUGGAGGGAAGAGAGAAAAAGUCCUGUUUAGUAGAUUGUAAGGAACUCAAUGCAACUGGAAUAUUGAAUGUCAUGAAGGGAGUGGAGGAGAUCAGAAAAUGAAGUUGAGGCAGGAGGCAUGGGCCAAAUAAUAUAGUAUAUUGUAUGUAUGGGAGAAGGACUCAGACUUUACCAGCAGCAAUGAAAAAACCAUUGAAAGGGAAUAGCAUCAUCAGAUUUCUAUUUUAAGAAGAUGAUUUAAGUUAAUGUACAGAGAAUGGAUUGUAGGAGAUGGUAGUGGGUGUCAUGAUGAUAUCCCAGUUACCCUGAUUUGAUCAUUACACAGUCUAUACGUGUAUCGAAUAUCACAUGUACCCCAGAAAUAUGGACAACCAUGAAGUAUCAACAACAGCAACAACAAAUAUCAGGAACACCAAAUAGAAGUUCCAGUGCCUUGCAUGAAUCUAAAUGAGGAAGGAUAAUGGUCUGAACAUCAUUAUAGCAAUGGCGUGUACAAGACUGGGUGAAUCUGGGAAAGAACCAAGAGGUAGAAUCUGUUGGUAUUGAUUAGAUGAGGCAGAUGGAGGGGAGAAGAGGGAUUCAAUGAUGAUCCCAGGAAUAUAUAUCCCCAGCCAGAUAUAUAUCUCCAAUACCAACAGUGCCUUUGUAAAAUGGUGUCUUGGCCGGGCGCGGUGGCUCGUGCCUAUAAUCCAAGCACUUUGGGAGGCUGAGGUGGGUGGAUCAUGAGGUUAAGAGAUUGAGACCAUCCUGGCCAACAUGGUGAAACCCCGUCUCUACUGAAAAUACCAAAAUUAGCCGGGCGUGGUGGCAGGUGCCUGUAGUCCCAGCUACUCGGGAGAAUGAGGCCGGAGAAUCGGUUGAACCUGGGAGGCGGAGGUUGCAGUGAGCCG